GCUCGAGUGGCGAACGGGUGAGUAACACGUGAGUAACCUGCCCUUGACUUUGGGAUAACUUCAGGAAACUGGGGCUAAUACCGGAUAGGAGCUCCUGCUGCAUGGUGGGGGUUGGAAAGUUUCGGCGGUUGGGGAUGGACUCGCGGCUUAUCAGCUUGUUGGUAGAGUAAAAGCCUACCAAGGCGACGAUGGGUAGCCGGCCUGAGAGGGUGAACGGCCACAUUGGAACUGAGAAACGGUCCAA
This 244-nucleotide ribosomal RNA is filed under the name uncultured Actinomycetales bacterium. RNAcentral describes it as "partial 16S ribosomal RNA". It matches the Rfam family "Bacterial small subunit ribosomal RNA", at positions 89 to 334 of the family's 1533-position model. Lineage: Bacteria; Bacillati; Actinomycetota; Actinomycetes; Actinomycetales. The record is from RNAcentral.